CAGUAGCCGCGGUAAUACGAGGGGUGCAAGCGUUAUUCGGAUUGAUUGGGUGUAAAGGGUGUGCAGACGGCUUAUUAAGUCACUUGUUAAAUUCUUCGGCCUAACUGAAGGUCUGCAAGUGAUACUGAUGAGCUAGAGGGUGGAAGAGAGAAGUGGAAUUCUCGGAGUAGCGGUAAAAUGCGUAGAUCUCGAGAGGAACACCAAUGGCGAAGGCAGCUUCUUGGUCCAUUCCUGACGUUCAUACACGAAAGCGUGGGGAGCGAACAGGAUUAGAUACCCCGGUAGUCCCUGUCUCUUAUAC
Molecule: ribosomal RNA, 301 nt
Filed under: uncultured bacterium
Lineage: Bacteria
Description: partial 16S ribosomal RNA
Rfam family: Bacterial small subunit ribosomal RNA
Source: RNAcentral